GGCCUGGUGGUCUAGUAGUAUGAUUCCUUCUUAGGGUUAAGAACCAUCUGGAGGAGGUCCCGGGUUCAAUUCCCGGUCAGGCCC
Molecule: non-coding RNA, 84 nt
Organism: Dichomitus squalens LYAD-421 SS1
Lineage: Eukaryota; Fungi; Basidiomycota; Agaricomycetes; Polyporales; Polyporaceae
Source: the annotation of a RefSeq genome assembly